UUACAUCUACCAACUCUGUUGUUCUGGGUUUGCCCUCGCCGUCCGGCACCCGGCUUUAAGUGGAAGUCACGUCGGGGCCGGACCCCGCGUGGGAAGCCGGGGUUAAGUCGCCUGGUAUGGCUUGGCCCGUUCCACAUGUGCCUUCCAAUCCAGCAAGGGCUAUUUUCUCGGAAUCCCAAAGAUAGCGGAGUUAUGCCGGGAAACCUCACGAGAAUGCCUACGCGCAUUCGUGAUGCUUAAGAGAAAAGGCUCUUUUGUUCUCGGCAAAUCUGCUGUUCAGAGAGCCGCUUUUAACGUAAAUAAUGAAUUCACAAUUUUGGCGGGGAGGGGACGUACUGUGUUUGCUUUGAAGGUACUUCUGGCCGCCGUGGUGGUGGCUCAGGUCUAGUUCCAGCAGUCAGGCAUUUCUUCGAGCUGGAGGUUUGGCAAGGAUGUGUGGUGAGAUUUGUCAAAUGAAAGUCUUUUACUGUGACUAUCCAACGUGGAUAACCCGGGAGGUCACUCUCCCCGGGCUCUGUCCUAGUGGCGUACGGGAGCAUAGGGCUUCGCCCGGUGAUGUAUAGUCCCUUUCCACAACGUUGGAGAUGAAGCUGGGCUUUCAGUCCGCGCCUGCAUAUUCCUACAGCUUCUCAGAGUCCUGUGGACAGUGACUGAGGGGACAAACCAUGCAGGAAACAGGCUUAAAUCACACCGUCUGAGGAUGAGGCUGCGUUCUAUUAAGAGUUUCACUUACUGAUGAAAUGCAUUGUUUUGCAGAACUGAUCGGUAAUUGCAAGUGACUCCUUGAUUGAGGAAAGAAGAGGAUUUGCUACAACCACCUCCUGAAGGUUAACAUGGUUUUUGGGGCCUUUUAACUAUUGAGAUUGGUAAAGCUCUGUGUGUAUUAGGGGUUUAGCUGAGGAUCUUGGUGUCUAUGUUCUAUGGGAUGUGUGAGGACCUGUGUUAUCUCUCCAGGAUCAUGACUUGUGCUUGUUCAUGUCCAUAUUCACUGUAAGAUCACACCAUAGGUUCAAGACCACACUGGGUUAUAGAAUUCAUUUGUAUUUUAAAUAAAUGUUUGUAAUAUACCUGACAAAUCUGAUUAAAGUGGACUUUUGAAUGUG
Molecule: long non-coding RNA, 1103 nt
Organism: Psammomys obesus (fat sand rat)
Lineage: Eukaryota; Metazoa; Chordata; Mammalia; Rodentia; Muridae
Exons: 2
Source: RefSeq, a predicted model, not a curated record